GCAAAUGACAGUUAUAUUGCAUGGUUUCGGAGGAAUGGGUAAGACCAUUCUCAUUGCAUGGUUUCGGAGGAAUGGAUAAGACAAUUGCG
Molecule: microRNA precursor, 89 nt
Filed under: Picea abies (Norway spruce)
Lineage: Eukaryota; Viridiplantae; Streptophyta; Pinopsida; Pinales; Pinaceae
Description: miR3706 stem-loop (pab-MIR3706)
Source: miRBase by way of RNAcentral